UACAGAGGUCCCAAGCGUUGUUCGGAUUCACUGGGCGUAAAGGGUGCGUAGGUGGCCGGGUAAGUCUGGUGUGAAAUCUCCGAGCUCAACUCGGAAACUGCAUUGGAUACUAUCCGGCUAGAGGAUCGGAGGGGAGACUGGAAUACUUGGUGUAGCAGUGAAAUGCGUAGAUAUCAAGUGGAACACCAGUGGCGAAGGCGAGUCUCUGGACGAUUCCUGACGCUGAGGCCCGAAAGCUAGGGGAGCAAACAGG
Molecule: ribosomal RNA, 253 nt
Filed under: uncultured bacterium
Lineage: Bacteria
Description: partial 16S ribosomal RNA
Rfam family: Bacterial small subunit ribosomal RNA
Source: RNAcentral